CAAACGACUCUCGGCAACGGAUAUCUCGGCUCUCGCAUCGAUGAAGAACGUAGCGAAAUGCGAUACUUGGUGUGAAUUGCAGAAUCCCGUGAACCAUCGAGUCUUUGAACGCAAGUUGCGCCCGAAGCCAUGCGGCCGAGGGCACGUCUGCCUGGGCGUCACGC
Molecule: ribosomal RNA, 164 nt
Filed under: Chamarea capensis
Lineage: Eukaryota; Viridiplantae; Streptophyta; Magnoliopsida; Apiales; Apiaceae
Description: 5.8S ribosomal RNA
Rfam family: 5.8S ribosomal RNA
About the family: 5.8S ribosomal RNA (5.8S rRNA) is a component of the large subunit of the eukaryotic ribosome. It is transcribed by RNA polymerase I as part of the 45S precursor that also contains 18S and 28S rRNA. Functionally, it is thought that 5.8S rRNA may be involved in ribosome translocation.
Source: RNAcentral